AACGAACGCUGGCGGCAUGCCUAACACAUGCAAGUCGAACGAGACCUUCGGGUCUAGUGGCGCACGGGUGCGUAACGCGUGGGAACCUGCCCUUAGGUUCGGAAUAACUCCCCGAAAGGGGUGCUAAUACCGGAUAAUGUCUUCGGACCAAAGAUUUAUCGCCUUUGGAUGGGCCCGCGUUGGAUUAGCUAGUUGGUAGGGUAAAAGCCUACCAAGGCGACGAUCCAUAGCUGGUCUGAGAGGAUGAUCAGCCACACUGGGACUGAGACACGGCCCAGACUCCUACGGGAGGCAGCAGUAGGGAAUAUUGGACAAUGGGCGAAAGCCUGAUCCAGCAAUGCCGCGUGAGUGAUGAAGGCCUUAGGGUUGUAAAGCUCUUUUACCCGGGAUGAUAAUGACAGUACCGGGAGAAUAAGCUCCGGCUAACUCCG
Molecule: ribosomal RNA, 431 nt
Filed under: uncultured bacterium
Lineage: Bacteria
Description: partial 16S ribosomal RNA
Rfam family: Bacterial small subunit ribosomal RNA
Source: RNAcentral